GUGCUCACUUUGGCAGAACAUAUACUAAAAUUGGAACAAUACAGAGGAGAUUAGCAUGGACCCUGAACAAGGAUGAUACACAAAUUCAUGAAGUAUUCCAUACGUUU
Leptonychotes weddellii (Weddell seal) is the source of this 107-nucleotide small nuclear RNA. Lineage: Eukaryota; Metazoa; Chordata; Mammalia; Carnivora; Phocidae. The record is from RefSeq and is a predicted model, not a curated record.